Non-coding RNA from Canis lupus familiaris (dog), 107 nucleotides. The record is from Rfam. Lineage: Eukaryota; Metazoa; Chordata; Mammalia; Carnivora; Canidae.
AGGAGCAACAGCCCCAGUGGCGGCGGCCAGCUCUGGAGCCCUGGAUUCAGCCCCCGCAGUAACUCCAGAGCUCUCCGUCUGCAGGAGCCUGGAGGCUCCGGGGCGGG